RNAcentral lists this ribosomal RNA (300 nucleotides) under uncultured Flavobacteriaceae bacterium. RNAcentral describes it as "bacterial SSU rRNA". It matches the Rfam family "Bacterial small subunit ribosomal RNA", at positions 115 to 416 of the family's 1533-position model. The record is from RNAcentral. Lineage: Bacteria; Pseudomonadati; Bacteroidota; Flavobacteriia; Flavobacteriales; Flavobacteriaceae.
GCGUAUGCAACCUACCUUUUACUAGAGUAUAGCCCAGAGAAAUUUGGAUUAAUCCUCUAUAACAUCUUUUAAUUUCAUGAUUUUAAGAUUAAAGUUUUAACGGUAAAGAUGGGCAUGCGUCCUAUUAGUUUGUAGGUGAGGUAACGGCUCACCUAGACUACGAUAGGUAGGGGCCCUGAGAGGGGGAUCCCCCACACUGGUACUGAGACACGGACCAGACUCCUACGGGAGGCAGCAGUAAGGAAUAUUGGACAAUGGACGAAAGUCUGAUCCAGCCAUGCCGCGUGCAGGAUGACAGCC